GUGCUAGCUUUGGCAGCACACACACUAAAAUUGGAACGAUACAGAGAAGAUUAGCAUGGCCCCUGCACAAGGAGGACACACAAAUUCAUGAACUGUUCCAUAUUUUU
This 107-nucleotide small nuclear RNA is filed under the name Prolemur simus (greater bamboo lemur). Lineage: Eukaryota; Metazoa; Chordata; Mammalia; Primates; Lemuridae. The record is from RNAcentral.